RNAcentral lists this ribosomal RNA (492 nucleotides) under uncultured bacterium. Its description in RNAcentral is "partial 16S ribosomal RNA". It matches the Rfam family "Bacterial small subunit ribosomal RNA", at positions 29 to 507 of the family's 1533-position model. The record is from RNAcentral.
AGUGAACGCUGGCGGUAGGCCUAACACAUGCCAGUCGAACGGCAGCACAGUAAGAGCUUGCUCUUACGGGUGGCGAGUGGCGGACGUGUGAGGAAUACAUCGGAAUCUACUUUUUCGUGGGGGAUCACGUAGGGAAACUUACGCUAAUACCGCAUACGACCUACGGGUGAAAGCAGGGGAUCUUCGGACCUUGCGCGGUUGAAUGAGCCGGUGUCGGAUUUGCUAGUUGGGGGGGUAAAGGCCCACCAAGGCGACGAUCGGUAGCUGGUCUGAGAGGAUGAUCAGCCACACUGGAGCUGCGACACGGUCCAGGCUCCUACGGGAGGCAGCAGUGGCGAAUAUUGGACAAUGGGCGCAAGCAUGAUCCAGCCAGCCCGCGUGGGUGGAGAAGGCCUUCGGGUUGUAAAGCCCUUUUGUUGGGAAAGAAAAGCAGCAGGUUAAUACCCCGCUGUUCUGACGGUACCCAAAGAAUAAGCACCGGCUAACUUCGUG